GGGCUUGUAGCUCAGGUGGUUAGAGCGCACGCCUGAUAAGCGUGAGGUCGGAGGUUCGAGUCCUCCCAGGCCCACCA
This 77-nucleotide transfer RNA is filed under the name Anaerofustis stercorihominis. RNAcentral's name for it is "tRNA-Ile". It matches the Rfam family "tRNA". From Rfam's summary of the family: Transfer RNA (tRNA) molecules are approximately 80 nucleotides in length. Their secondary structure includes four short double-helical elements and three loops (D, anti-codon, and T loops). Lineage: Bacteria; Bacillati; Bacillota; Clostridia; Eubacteriales; Eubacteriaceae. The record is from RNAcentral. RNAcentral also lists the same sequence under 4 other names.